Molecule: signal recognition particle RNA, 99 nt
Filed under: Microthrixaceae bacterium
Lineage: Bacteria; Bacillati; Actinomycetota; Acidimicrobiia; Acidimicrobiales; Microthrixaceae
Description: signal recognition particle sRNA small type
Rfam family: Bacterial small signal recognition particle RNA
About the family: The signal recognition particle (SRP) is a universally conserved ribonucleoprotein involved in the co-translational targeting of proteins to membranes. Archaeal SRP consists of a 7S RNA and homologues of the eukaryotic SRP19 and SRP54 proteins. In most bacteria, the SRP consists of a 4.5S RNA and the Ffh protein (a homologue of the eukaryotic SRP54 protein).
Source: RNAcentral
GGUCGGGUCCUGUGCAACGUCGGUCCGUGAACCGGGUCAGGGUCGGAAGGCAGCAGCCCUCAGCGAUUUCCGGUGGGUGCCGCAGAUCGCCUGACCGUC